This 1483-nucleotide ribosomal RNA is filed under the name Klebsiella pneumoniae. RNAcentral's name for it is "partial 23S ribosomal RNA". It matches the Rfam family "Bacterial large subunit ribosomal RNA", at positions 1 to 1531 of the family's 2925-position model. The record is from RNAcentral. Lineage: Bacteria; Pseudomonadati; Pseudomonadota; Gammaproteobacteria; Enterobacterales; Enterobacteriaceae.
GGUUAAGCGACUAAGCGUACACGGUGGAUGCCCUGGCAGUCAGAGGCGAUGAAGGACGUGCUAAUCUGCGAAAAGCGUCGGUAAGGUGAUAUGAACCGUUAUAACCGGCGAUGUCCGAAUGGGGAAACCCAGUGCAAUUCGUUGCACUAUCGUUAACUGAAUACAUAGGUUAACGAGGCGAACCGGGGGAACUGAAACAUCUAAGUACCCCGAGGAAAAGAAAUCAACCGAGAUUCCCCCAGUAGCGGCGAGCGAACGGGGAGCAGCCCAGAGUCUGAAUCAGCUUGUGUGUUAGUGGAACGGUCUGGAAAGUCCGACGGUACAGGGUGAUAGUCCCGUACACCAAAAUGCACAGGCUGUGAACUCGAAGAGUAGGGCGGGACACGUGGUAUCCUGUCUGAAUAUGGGGGGACCAUCCUCCAAGGCUAAAUACUCCUGACUGACCGAUAGUGAACCAGUACCGUGAGGGAAAGGCGAAAAGAACCCCGGCGAGGGGAGUGAAAAAGAACCUGAAACCGUGUACGUACAAGCAGUGGGAGCACCUUCGGGUGUGACUGCGUACCUUUUGUAUAAUGGGUCAGCGACUUAUAUUCUGUAGCAAGGUUAACCGUAUAGGGGAGCCGCAGGGAAACCGAGUCUUAACUGGGCGUUAAGUUGCAGGGUAUAGACCCGAAACCCGGUGAUCUAGCCAUGGGCAGGUUGAAGGUUGGGUAACACUAACUGGAGGACCGAACCGACUAAUGUUGAAAAAUUAGCGGAUGACUUGUGGCUGGGGGUGAAAGGCCAAUCAAACCGGGAGAUAGCUGGUUCUCCCCGAAAGCUAUUUAGGUAGCGCCUCGUGAAUUCAUCUUCGGGGGUAGAGCACUGUUUCGGCUAGGGGGUCAUCCCGACUUACCAACCCGAUGCAAACUACGAAUACCGAAGAAUGUUAUCACGGGAGACACACGGCGGGUGCUAACGUCCGUCGUGAAGAGGGAAACAACCCAGACCGCCAGCUAAGGUCCCAAAGUCAUGGUUAAGUGGGAAACGAUGUGGGAAGGCACAGACAGCCAGGAUGUUGGCUUAGAAGCAGCCAUCAUUUAAAGAAAGCGUAAUAGCUCACUGGUCGAGUCGGCCUGCGCGGAAGAUGUAACGGGGCUAAACCAUGCACCGAAGCUGCGGCAGCGACACUAUGUGUUGUUGGGUAGGGGAGCGUUCUGUAAGCCUGCGAAGGUGACCUGUGAGGGUUGCUGGAGGUAUCAGAAGUGCGAAUGCUGACAUAAGUAACGAUAAAGCGGGUGAAAAGCCCGCUCGCCGGAAGACCAAGGGUUCCUGUCCAACGUUAAUCGGGGCAGGGUGAGUCGACCCCUAAGGCGAGGCCGAAAGGCGUAGUCGAUGGGAAACAGGUUAAUAUUCCUGUACUUGGUGUUACUGCGAAGGGGGGACGGAGAAGGCUAUGUUAGCCGGGCGACGGUUGUCCCGGUUUAAGCAUGUAGGCUGGUUA